Molecule: ribosomal RNA, 468 nt
Filed under: uncultured bacterium
Lineage: Bacteria
Description: partial 16S ribosomal RNA
Rfam family: Bacterial small subunit ribosomal RNA
Source: RNAcentral
GAUGAACGCUGGCGGCGUGCUUAACACAUGCAAGUCGAACGGAAAGGCCAGUGCUUGCACUGGUACUCGAGUGGCGAACGGGUGAGUAACACGUGGGUGAUCUGCCCUGCACUUCGGGAUAAGCCUUGGAAACUGGGUCUAAUACCGGAUAGGACAAUGGUUUGGAUGCCGUUGUGGAAAGUUUUUUCGGUGUGGGAUGAGCUCGCGGCCUAUCAGCUUGUUGGUGGGGUAAUGGCUUACCAAGGCGUCGACGGGUAGCCGGCCUGAGAGGGUGUACGGCCACAUUGGGACUGAGAUACGGCCCAGACUCCUACGGGAGGCAGCAGUGGGGAAUAUUGCACAAUGGGCGCAAGCCUGAUGCAGCGACGCCGCGUGGGGGAUGACGGCCUUCGGGUUGUAAACUCCUUUCGCUAGGGACGAAGCGUAUUUGUGACGGUACCUGGAGAAGAAGCACCGGCUAACUACGUG